This 468-nucleotide ribosomal RNA is filed under the name uncultured bacterium. Its description in RNAcentral is "partial 16S ribosomal RNA". It matches the Rfam family "Bacterial small subunit ribosomal RNA", at positions 28 to 507 of the family's 1533-position model. The record is from RNAcentral.
GACGAACGCUGGCGGCGUGCUUAACACAUGCAAGUCGAACGGAAAGGCCCUGCUUUUGUGGGGUGCUCGAGUGGCGAACGGGUGAGUAACACGUGAGUAACUUGCCCUUGACUGUGGGAUAACUUCAGGAAACUGGGUCUAAUACCGGAUAGGAGCUCCUGCGGCAUGGUGGGGGUUGGAAAGUUUCGGCGGUUGGGGAUGGAUUCGCGGCUUAUCAGCUUGUUGGUGGGGUAGUGGCUUACCAAGGCUUUGACGGGUAGCCGGCCUGAGAGGGUGACCGGCCACAUUGGGACUGAGAUACGGCCCAGACUCCUACGGGAGGCAGCAGUGGGGAAUAUUGCACAAUGGGCGGAAGCCUGAUGCAGCAACGCCGCGUGCGGGAUGACGGCCUUCGGGUUGUAAACCGCUUUAGCCUGUGACGAAGCGUGAGUGACGGUAAUGGGUAAAGAAGCACCGGCUAACUACGUG